CAGUCGCCACGGUAAUACGAAGGGGGCUAGCGUUGUUCGGAAUUACUGGGCGUAAAGCGCACGUAGGCGGAUAUUUAAGUCAGGGGUGAAAUCCCGCAGCUCAACUGCGGAACUGCCUUUGAUACUGGGUAUCUUGAGUAUGGAAGAGGUUAGUGGAAUUGCGAGUGUAGAGGUGAAAUUCGUAGAUAUUCGCAGGAACACCAGUGGCGAAGGCGGCUAACUGGUCCAUAACUGACGCUGAGGUGCGAAAGCGUGGGGAGCAAACAGGAUUAGAUACCCGAGUAGUCCCUGUCUCUUAUAA
RNAcentral lists this ribosomal RNA (301 nucleotides) under uncultured bacterium. RNAcentral describes it as "partial 16S ribosomal RNA". It matches the Rfam family "Bacterial small subunit ribosomal RNA", at positions 509 to 809 of the family's 1533-position model. The record is from RNAcentral.